AGUGAACGCUGGCGGUAGGCCUAACACAUGCAAGUCGAACGGCAGCACAGUAAGAGCUUGCUCUUACGGGUGGCGAGUGGCGGACGGGUGAGGAAUACAUCGGAAUCUACUUUUUCGUGGGGGAUAACGUAGGGAAACUUACGCUAAUACCGCAUACAACCUACGGGUGAAAGCAGGGGAUCUUCGGACCUUGCGCGAUUGAAUGAGCCGAUGUCGGAUUAGCUAGUUGGCGGGGUAAAGGCCCACCAAGGCGACGAUCCGUAGCUGGUCUGAGAGGAUGAUCAGCCACACUGGAACUGAGACACGGUCCAGACUCCUACGGGAGGCAGCAGUGGGGAAUAUUGGACAACGGGCGCAAGCCUGAUCCAGCCAUACCGCGUGGGUGAAGAAGGCCUUCGGGUUGUAAAGCCCUUUUGUUGGGAAAGAAAAGCAGCAGGUUAAUACCCCGCUGUUCUGACGGUACCCAAAGAAUAAGCACCGGCUAACUUCGUG
Molecule: ribosomal RNA, 492 nt
Filed under: uncultured bacterium
Lineage: Bacteria
Description: partial 16S ribosomal RNA
Rfam family: Bacterial small subunit ribosomal RNA
Source: RNAcentral